UACGUAGGGGGCAAGCGUUGUCCGGAUUUAUUGGGCGUAAAGAGCGUGUAGGCGGCCAUACAGGUCCGUUGUGAAAACUCGAGGCUCAACCUCGAGACGCCGAUGGAAACCAUGUGGCUAGAGUCCGGAAGAGGAGAGUGGAAUUCCUGGUGUAGCGGUGAAAUGCGCAGAUAUCAGGAAGAACACCCGUGGCUAAGGCGGCUCUCUAGUACGGUACUGACGCUGAGACGCGAAAGCGUGGGGAGCGAACAGG
RNAcentral lists this ribosomal RNA (253 nucleotides) under uncultured bacterium. RNAcentral's name for it is "partial 16S ribosomal RNA". It matches the Rfam family "Bacterial small subunit ribosomal RNA", at positions 524 to 776 of the family's 1533-position model. The record is from RNAcentral.